Passer domesticus (house sparrow) is the source of this 382-nucleotide long non-coding RNA. RefSeq lists it as uncharacterized. The transcript has 3 exons. The record is from RefSeq and is a predicted model, not a curated record. NCBI's taxonomy places the organism in Eukaryota, Metazoa, Chordata, Aves, Passeriformes, Passeridae.
GUCACCAUCUGUCCCCCAAAACCCAGAAUAAACUGUGUGCAGCCACCACAAUCCCCACUCGUGGUUAUGGACAAAGCUGGCAGUGGGAGCACACACCACCAUAGAGGUGUCUUGCCUUCAUUGGAUGAGUCCUGGAACCUCAUUGGAAUCCAAACACACCUGAGGCUAGGAAUGGCAGUGGUGAUGCUUGUGACAGGCUGAGGAGCCUGUGGAGUUUAUUCCAUAGCCUGAGGACAUGCCAAGCAAGGGACUGUUUCAUUCACAAGUGACUGACAAUGUCGUGUGCCUGAGGAGAGUCAGAGCCAGCUAUGCAUUUCAAUUUCAAGGUUUAAGUGUCUCUCAAAGGAGCCAGACAAUCAUCUUUUGAGAGCAUCGUGAAGAA